This 252-nucleotide ribosomal RNA is filed under the name uncultured bacterium. RNAcentral describes it as "partial 16S ribosomal RNA". It matches the Rfam family "Bacterial small subunit ribosomal RNA", at positions 1249 to 1500 of the family's 1533-position model. The record is from RNAcentral.
GCGAACCUGCGAAGGCAAGCGGAUCUCUUAAAGCCGUUCUCAGUUCGGACUGUAGGCUGCAACUCGCCUACACGAAGCUGGAAUCGCUAGUAAUCGCGGAUCAGAAUGCCGCGGUGAAUACGUUCCCGGGUCUUGUACACACCGCCCGUCACACCAUGGGAGUCGGAAAUGCCCGAAGCCAGUGACCCAACUGAAAGGAGGGAGCUGUCGAAGGCAGGUCUGAUAACUGGGGUGAAGUCGUAACAAGGUAGC